RNAcentral lists this ribosomal RNA (574 nucleotides) under Oligota pumilio. RNAcentral describes it as "partial 16S ribosomal RNA". The stretch from base 335 to 492 matches the Rfam family "Bacterial large subunit ribosomal RNA", at positions 2473 to 2632 of the family's 2925-position model. The record is from RNAcentral. Lineage: Eukaryota; Metazoa; Arthropoda; Insecta; Coleoptera; Staphylinidae.
UUAAAUAGCUGCAGUAUUUUGACUGUACAAAGGUAGCAUAAUCAAUAGUUUUUUAAUUGAAAUCUGGUAUGAAGGGCUUGACAAGAAAAUAGCUAUUUAUUAUUAAUUAAAUUGAAUUUUAUUUUUUAGUAAAAAAACUAAAAUAUUAUUAAAAGACGAGAAGACCCUAUAGAGUUUUAUAAUUAUAAUAAAUGAAUUAUUUAGAAUAAAAUUUUUUAUUUAAAAUAUAUUAUUUUACUGGGGUGGUAUAAAAAUUUUAUUAACUUUUUAAAAUUAUUACAUUUAUUUAUGAAUAAUUGAUCCUUAUAAGAUUAUUAGAAAAAAUUACCUUAGGGAUAACAGCGUUAUUUCUUUUUAAAGUUCUUAUUAAAAAAGAAGUUUGCGACCUCGAUGUUGGAUUAAAAUUAAUAAUUGGUGUAGAAGCUAAUUUAUUAGGUCUGUUCGACCUUUAAAUUUUACAUGAUCUGAGUUUAGACCGGUGUGAGCCAGGUCGGUUUCUAUCUUUAAUUAAAAAUUAUAUUAUAGUACGAAAGGACCUAAUAUUUUUAAAAUUUAAUGUUUUAUGAUUAAAAUU